Molecule: ribosomal RNA, 438 nt
Filed under: uncultured marine bacterium
Lineage: Bacteria
Description: bacterial SSU rRNA
Rfam family: Bacterial small subunit ribosomal RNA
Source: RNAcentral
AACGCGAAGAACCUUACCUGGUCUUGACAUCCUGAGAACUUUCUAGAAAUAGAUUGGUGCCUUCGGGAACUCAGUGACAGGUGCUGCAUGGCUGUCGUCAGCUCGUGUCGUGAGAUGUUCGGUUAAGUCCGGCAACGAGCGCAACCCACAUCUUUAGUUGCCAUCAGGUUAUGCUGGGCACUCUAGAGAAACUGCCCGUGAUAAGCGGGAGGAAGGUGUGGAUGACGUCAAGUCCUCAUGGCCCUUACGAGUAGGGCUACACACGUGAUACAAUGGGAGAGACAGACGGACGCUAAGCCGCGAGGUGGUGCUAAUCCUAGAAACUCUCUCGUAGUCCGGAUUGGAGUCUGCAACUCGACUCCAUGAAGUUGGAAUUGCUAGUAAUCGCGGAUCAGCAUGCCGCGGUGAAUACGUUCUCGGGUCUUGUACACACCGAAU